This 468-nucleotide ribosomal RNA is filed under the name uncultured bacterium. Its description in RNAcentral is "partial 16S ribosomal RNA". It matches the Rfam family "Bacterial small subunit ribosomal RNA", at positions 28 to 507 of the family's 1533-position model. The record is from RNAcentral.
GACGAACGCUGGCGGCGUGCUUAACACAUGCAAGUCGAACGGAAAGGCCCUGCUUUUGUGGGGUGCUCGAGUGGCGAACGGGUGAGUAACACGUGAGUAACCUGCCCUUGACUUUGGGAUAACUUCAGGAAACUGGGGCUAAUACCGGAUAGGAGCUCCUGCUGCAUGGUGGGGGUUGGAAAGUUUCGGCGGUUGGGGAUGGACUCGCGGCUUAUCAGCUUGUUGGUGGGGUAGUGGCUUACCAAGGCUUUGACGGGUAGCCGGCCUGAGAGGGUGGCCGGCCACAUUGGGACUGAGAUACGGCCCAGACUCCUACGGGAGGCAGCAGUGGGGAAUAUUGCACAAUGGGCGGAAGCCUGAUGCAGCAACGCCGCGUGCGGGAUGACGGCCUUCGGGCUGUAAACCGCUUUCGCCUGUGACGAAGCGUGAGUGACGGUAAUGGGUAAAGAAGCACCGGCUAACUACGUG